GUAGUCUCGCACAGAUGCAUAUCAAUAAGCGGAGGAAAAGAAACUAACAAGGAUUCCCUUAGUAACGGCGAGUGAAGCGGGAAGAGCUCAAAUUUGAAAUCUUCAAGGUUUUACCUUGACGAAUUGUAGUUUAAAGAAGUGUUUUCUGUUGAAGUUUUGGUAAAAGUUCUUUGGAAUAGGACAUCAUAGAGGGUGAGAAUCCCGUAUUUGACCAUUAUUUUCAGCUGUGUGAUACACUUUCAAAGAGUCGGAUUGUUUGGGAAUGCAGUCCAAAAUGGGUGGUAAAUUUCAUCUAAAGCUAAAUAUUGGCGAGAGACCGAUAGCGAACAAGUACCGUGAGGGAAAGAUGAAAAGAACUUUGAAAAGAGAGUUAAACAGUACGUGAAAUUGUCAAAAGGGAAGCGUUUGACACCAGUGUUGUUUUCUCGAAAAUCAAUUAGAAAGAGUUUGAUUUUGUUGUGUAUUGACCUUAACAGCUUGCAUUUCAAUUUUCUUGCUUUUUUUAAUGCACUUUUCGUUUAACAAGUCAACAUCAGUUUCUUUUGUUGUAAAAAGGUCAUUGGAAGGUGGCUUUCUUUUCGGAGAAAGUGUUUAUAGCCUUUGACUCCUGCAAUCGGAGAGACUGAGGUCUGCAGCGUAGAUCCUUCGGGGUUAGAUACAUUUGUGCUAAGUUAUAGCUUUUUAUAGACAACUUGUUGACUAUGAUUAGUCUUGUAGCUUACUCGCUUAUGCUAUUUUACCUACGCUUAGGAUGUUGAGCGCAUGUCUCUCUCU
RNAcentral lists this ribosomal RNA (774 nucleotides) under uncultured Neocallimastigales. RNAcentral describes it as "partial large subunit ribosomal RNA". It matches the Rfam family "Eukaryotic large subunit ribosomal RNA", at positions 24 to 616 of the family's 3401-position model. Lineage: Eukaryota; Fungi; Neocallimastigomycota; Neocallimastigomycetes; Neocallimastigales. The record is from RNAcentral.